Molecule: ribosomal RNA, 400 nt
Filed under: uncultured bacterium
Lineage: Bacteria
Description: bacterial SSU rRNA
Rfam family: Bacterial small subunit ribosomal RNA
Source: RNAcentral
UGAGGAAUUUUGCGCAAUGGGGGAAACCCUGACGCAGCAACGCCGCGUGAGUGAAGAAGGCUUUCGGGUCGUAAAGCUCUGUCAAGAGGGAAGAAGGUGGUGUGUGGUAAUACUAUGCAUUAUUGACGGUACCUCUGAAGGAAGCACCGGCUAACUCCGUGCCAGCAGCCGCGGUAAUACGGGGGGUGCAAGCGUUAUUCGGAUUUAUUGGGCGUAAAGAGCGCGUAGGCGGUUUAUCAAGUCAGAUGUGAAAGCCCUGGGCUCAACCUGGGAAGUGCAUUUGAAACUAGUAGACUUGAGUAUGGGAGAGGGGAGUGGAAUUCCUGGUGUAGAGGUGAAAUUCGUAGAUAUCAGGAGGAACACCGGUGGCGAAGGCGACUUCCUGGACCAAUACUGACGC